RNAcentral lists this non-coding RNA (117 nucleotides) under Nomascus leucogenys (northern white-cheeked gibbon). The record is from Rfam by way of RNAcentral. Lineage: Eukaryota; Metazoa; Chordata; Mammalia; Primates; Hylobatidae.
GCCGGGUGUGGUGGCUCACGCCUGUAAUCCCAGCACUUUGGGAGGCCGAGGCGGGUGGAUCACCUGAGGUCAGGAGUUCAAGACCAGCCUGACCAACAUGGCGAAACCCCGUCUCUG